GCAGUCUGCAACUCGACUGCAUGAAGCUGGAAUCGCUAGUAAUCGCGAAUCAGAAUGUCGCGGUGAAUACGUUCCCGGGUCUUGUACACACCGCCCGUCACACCAUGGGAGUUGGUAACGCCCGAAGUCAGUGACCCAACCGCAAGGAGGGAGCUGCCGAAGGCGGGACCGGUAACUGGGGUGAAGUCGUAACAAGGUAAC
Molecule: ribosomal RNA, 201 nt
Filed under: uncultured bacterium
Lineage: Bacteria
Description: partial 16S ribosomal RNA
Rfam family: Bacterial small subunit ribosomal RNA
Source: RNAcentral